GUUACACUGAUUAUGCAUGCGUCUUCACAUAUGAGAAAAGUAUAAUAACUAACCCCAAGUAUUUUCCACUCAGAAUGAAAGAACACAACAUGCUGUUGAAUGAUUUCCUCUGCUUCAGUUGGCGACGGAAGCACGGGAUUCUUCAUAGCUGCUCCUGCAUGUUAAAAGGUUCUUUUAGAGUGACUCCCAGAUUAGUGGAGACACAGCCUGAGUUGAAUAUUAAUAAUUUUAUAUCAAGUCUACUUCGAAAACUGGGCUGGUCAGAUUCAAGGAAUCGACUCUUUUGGAGUCGACUCCUCAUCAGUACUGCGCAUGUGCUUACAAAUCAUCACAUCGACGCGCACGUGGAAGUGAUCGCCGCGGGAAAACUGAGUUUGUCUAGUUCCUCCAUGGUUGUGAGAGGGAAGACAUCAUCCUCGCUGUCCACCACUGGAGCACUGGAACGGUUGUUUGCUGCAAGGGACUGGACCACUGAAGUCAGAUGAUUGAUCUUCAUGUCCAGUUCAUUAAGUGCCUCCAGAAUUGUCCUCUCAACAGCUGCAACACAUUAGAUGGGUGUUCACCCCAAGCAUCUUCUUGCUCAUUUUCAUUGGACAAGCUCACUGGAACAGCUGGAGUUAAGAAAGGUGAAGUUGAUGGGUGUUCUUCCCAAGUUUCCAGCUGGCGGUCUGAAUGAGAGAAGCUCAUUAACAUUACAAAAGGUGAGUGUUCACCCCAAUGAUCUUGUGGCUCAUCUGCCUGGGAGAAGCUCACGGGAACAUCUGGAGCUGACAAUGAUGGAACUGUACUCAUGUAGAGCCUGUUACCUUGACAGCUGGGGAAAGUCUCAAAACGGGCCUGCUCUGGCUUCUCCAUGGCCCUUUGGUGGUGAUUAACAAGUGCUGUUGAAAGAAUUGAGGUGCUGGAGGUUUUGGUGCAGGCGGGACUUUUGGUGCGGGCUGGAUUUUUGGUAAUUCUGGCCUGAUGCUUGGUCCAACCCUUAUCUGGCUGUGGUGCCUCCAUCAACCUGACGCUCUUUAGUAACCGGUCCAAGUCUUUGUAUGGAGGCCACCAUGAGUGGCCAUCUGAGUACCAGGACUUUGCUACAGGACCGGUACUCCCUUCUCCGACGAACUCCACUAUCAGGUGGCGAUGUACGCGCGCGAGUCGCCAAUGAGCCAAGGGAUGAAGAAGUCCUCAGGGCAAGAUGUGGUGGAGUUAUGGUUGAGAGUGCAAUCUAUUCUGCUUACCCGACUCAUGCAGACUUCUGUCCUGAUGUUUGGCUGUAGUCCUUCCAUCAUCCUUUUGCAACCGGUCUAUUUAUGGAGACCACCAUGAUCUAAUCUAUACAGAUCUAGUUGUCUCUUCUCCCACAAACUCCUCUUUCAGAUUUUGAGCGGAUCUCCUUCAUUCUGCAGCCAGCUCACCAGAACCUCUGGGUGCACCAGCUGUGGAUAUUACAGGCCAAACUUUGGACACCCUAGGACAACAUCCUUAGCACAGAUCCACCUAUAGCCCUCCAUCAUUCCCACAUCCAUCUUGCAACAGUUUCAUUAAGUGCAGUCCAUAACCAGUUCACAGUCUACACCUUGUCCAUUGCAAAUGUUAUGGAUU
Molecule: long non-coding RNA, 1593 nt
Organism: Carassius auratus (goldfish)
Lineage: Eukaryota; Metazoa; Chordata; Actinopteri; Cypriniformes; Cyprinidae
Exons: 14
Source: RefSeq, a predicted model, not a curated record